GAUGAACGCUAGCGGCAGGCCCAACACAUGCAAGUCGAGGGGUAACUAGAGUGAUAGCAAUAUUACUUUGGCUAGACCGGCGCACGGGUGCGUAACACGUAUGCAACCUACCUUAUACUGGGGAAUAACUUCGAGAAAUCGGCGCUAAUACCCCAUAACAUUGCGAAGAGGCAUCUCUUUGCAAUUAAAGCUCCGGCGGUAUAAGAUGGGCAUGCGUCCAAUUAGCUAGUUGGUGAGGUAACGGCUCACCAAGGCUACGAUUGGUAGGGGUUCUGAGAGGAUGAUCCCCCACACUGGUACUGGGACACGGACCAGACUCCUACGGGAGGCAGCAGUGAGGAAUAUUGCGCAAUGGACGAAAGUCUGACGCAGCCAUGCCGCGUGCAGGAUGACGGCCCUAUGGGUUGUAAACUGCUUUUGUACGGGAAUAAACCCUUCUACGUGUAGGAGGCUGAAGGUACCGUAAGAAUAAGCACCGGCUAACUCCGUGCCAGCCGCCGUAACAC
RNAcentral lists this ribosomal RNA (506 nucleotides) under uncultured bacterium. RNAcentral's name for it is "partial 16S ribosomal RNA". It matches the Rfam family "Bacterial small subunit ribosomal RNA", at positions 28 to 526 of the family's 1533-position model. The record is from RNAcentral.